GACGCGGUGGCCUAAUGGUUAGCGCGCUGGACUCCGGAACGAGCGGUCCGGGUUCGAGCCUAGCCUGCGUGGCA
This is a non-coding RNA of Desmophyllum pertusum, 74 nucleotides long. Lineage: Eukaryota; Metazoa; Cnidaria; Anthozoa; Scleractinia; Caryophylliidae. The record is from the annotation of a GenBank genome assembly.